UCGUUUUGUGACAUAGAUCAGGCGAUCUC
RNAcentral lists this non-coding RNA (29 nucleotides) under Rattus norvegicus (Norway rat). The record is from RNAcentral. Lineage: Eukaryota; Metazoa; Chordata; Mammalia; Rodentia; Muridae.